AAGCGUGCGCAGGCGGUUUUGUAAGACAGUGGUGAAAUCNCCGGGCUCAACCUGGGAAACUGCCAUUGUGACUGCAAGGCUGGAGUGCGGCAGAGGGGGAUGGAAUUUCCGCGUGUAGCAGUGAAAUGCGUAGAUAUGCGGAGGAACACCGAUGGCGAAGGCAAUCCCCUGGGCCUGCACUGACGCUCAUGCACGAAAGCGUGGGAGCAAACAGGAUUAGAUACCCUGGUAGUCCACGCCCUAAACGAUGUCAACUGGUUGUUGGGAAUUUAUUUUCUCAGUAACGAAGCUAACGCGUGAAGUUGNCCGCCUGGGGAGUACGGCCGCAAGGUUAAAACUCAAAGGAAUUGACGGGGACCCGCACAAGCGGUGGAUGAUGUUCUUUAAUUCGAUGCAACGCGAAAAACCUUACCCACCUUUGACAUGUAUGGAAUCCUUUAGAGAUGAAGGAGUGCUCGAAAGAGAGCCAUAACACAGGUGCUGCAUGGCUGUCGUCAGCUCGUGUCGAGAGAUGUUGGGUUAAGUCCCGCAACGAGCGCAACCCUUGCCAUUAGUUGCUACGAAAGGGCACUCUAAUGGGACUGCCGGUGACAAACCGGAGGAAGGUGGGGAUGACGUCAAGUCCUCAUGGCCCUUAUAGGUGGGGCUAGAAACGUCAUACAAUGGCCGGUACAAAGGGUAGCCAAGCCGCGAGGUGGAGCCAAUCCCAUAAAGCCGGUCGUAGUCCGGAUCGCAGUCUGCAACUCGGCUGCGUGAAGUCGGAAUCGCUAGUAAUCGUGGAUCAGCAUGCCACGGUGAAUACGUUCCCGGGUCUUGCACUCACCGCCCGUC
Molecule: ribosomal RNA, 831 nt
Filed under: uncultured Comamonas sp.
Lineage: Bacteria; Pseudomonadati; Pseudomonadota; Betaproteobacteria; Burkholderiales; Comamonadaceae
Description: SSU rRNA
Rfam family: Bacterial small subunit ribosomal RNA
Source: RNAcentral